AACAGGCUAUUCUAUGACAAAAGCCGUGUAAAAACGAAGGGGGUAAAUAUCGUGUACCGAAGAGUUUGUAGCGCACAACAAUUUUUAGGUUUCUCCAAUAAACUUUGUCCCGCCCGAUUUAGAACAAAAUUAGGGUUUCAAGGAUACUCGGAAUUCUUUUGGAAAAUUCAGUUUGUAAUAUGUUGUAUGUUAUUCUGCUAGAGGAAGGGGGUGCGACUAUGUCAACAUGUUUUUGCCGACUGCUUUUGUAUUUGCGAUUUAUACUGAAGGUUAUUCUACUAAAGGAAGGGGUUAUGGCAACUACAGCAUGUUUUGUUAUUGUUAGCAAGAAUGACAUUCCCGUUUAUGAAGCUGAAGUUGGCUCUGCUCUCAGAAAAGAAGAUGCUGCUCACCAGCACCAAUUUAUUUUACAUGCAGCGUUGGAUGUUGUUCAAGACCUUGCAUGGACUACUAGCGCUAUGUUCUUGAAGACGGUGGAUAGGUUCAACGAUCUGGUGGUGUCUGUAUAUGUUACUGCUGGUCAUACACGAUUGAUGCUACUUCAUGACUCGAGAAGUGAAGAUGGGAUCAAAAGCUUUUUUCAAGAUGUCCAUGAGCUGUAUAUAAAGAUUCUUCUGAAUCCCCUCUAUAUUCCUGGAUCACGCAUAACAUCAUCUCAUUUUGAUACGAAAGUCAGGGCCCUAGCAAGAAAGUAUCUGUAGUAACCCAAUUUUCAUUGUCACCGGUGAAGAUGAAGAUAAUAUUUGUGAAAAGUGGAACUUGGGAUAGGUGGUAGUCUCCUCAGUUGCUUCUGACGACGUUUGUCUUCAACAUCCUUCAUUCUGAUUCUCGUGUUGUGUUUAAUCUUGUUGUACAAUUUCUUUUUCAAAAGCAUAUACGGCGGAGCAGAAAUGUUUGUAAUACCUAUCUUGAGUUUGAACAACUCUGUUUCUUAACAGAAGUCAUUUUCUUCUAGGUUUCUGUAGGAAAACUUCAGCGUGCCAACUGCGCAAUUUGGGGGCAUGGAACAAGAUUGAAUAUCAUAUUGGUUCUUGGCAAUCGGUGUUUGUAAGAUUGAUUUCUUCAUUUUUCUCGUUUGGUUAUUCGUUUGAACCUUCCAAAUCCUCAUAAAUGGGCUUGAAAGAUUCAUUCUCUACCCAAUAGCAUUGUGAAACCUAAAUUUUCUUUUACCAUGCAAAGGAACG
RNA transcript from Papaver somniferum (opium poppy), 1184 nucleotides. It is a transcript of the gene named trafficking protein particle complex subunit 2-like, with no coding region annotated. The record is from RefSeq and is a predicted model, not a curated record. NCBI's taxonomy places the organism in Eukaryota, Viridiplantae, Streptophyta, Magnoliopsida, Ranunculales, Papaveraceae. The transcript has 8 exons.